Molecule: ribosomal RNA, 422 nt
Filed under: uncultured bacterium
Lineage: Bacteria
Description: partial 16S ribosomal RNA
Rfam family: Bacterial small subunit ribosomal RNA
Source: RNAcentral
AAUAUUGGACAAUGGGGAAACCCUGAUCCAGCCAUGCCGCGGGUGUGAAGAAGGUCUUCGGAUUGUAAAGCACUUUAUGUUGGGAGGAAGGGUUGUUGGCUAAUAUCUAGCAAUUUGGACGUUACUGACAGAAUAAGCACCGGCUAACUCUGUGCCAGCAGCCGCGGUAAUACAGAGAGUGAAAGGGUUAAUCGGAAUUACUGGGAGUAAAGGGAGCGUAGGUGGUUCAGUAAGAUGGGUGUGAAAGCCCCGGGCUUAACCUGGGAACUGGUUUCAUAACUGAUAAGAUAGAGUACGGUAGAGGGUAGUGGAAUUUCCUGUGUAGCGGUGAAAUGGGUAGAUAUAGAAAGGAACACCAGUAGCGGAGGCGACUACCUGGACUGAUACUGACACUGAGGUGCGAAAGCGUGGGGAGCAAACAG